Molecule: ribosomal RNA, 480 nt
Filed under: uncultured bacterium
Lineage: Bacteria
Description: partial 16S ribosomal RNA
Rfam family: Bacterial small subunit ribosomal RNA
Source: RNAcentral
GAUGAACGCUAGCGGCAGGCCUAAUACAUGCAAGUCGAGGGGUAUGGGUUGCUUGCAACCCAGAGACCGGCGCACGGGUGCGUAACGCGUAUGCAAUCUACCUUAAUCAGGGGGAUAGCCCGGAGAAAUCCGGAUUAGCACCGCAUAACAUUGAGUUGUGGCAUCACAGUUCAAUCAAAUAUUUAUAGGAUUAAGAUGAGCAUGCGUGACAUUAGUUAGUUGGUGAGGUAACGGCUCACCAAGACCACGAUGUCUAGGGGAUCUGAGAGGAUGACCCCCCACACUGGUACUGAGACACGGACCAGACUCCUACGGGAGGCAGCAGUAAGGAAUAUUGGUCAAUGGGCGCAAGCCUGAACCAGCCAUGCCGCGUGCAGGAAGACGGCCCUAUGGGUUGUAAACUGCUUUUGUACCGGAAUAAACCUUCUCUUGCGAGAGAAGCUGAACGUACGGUAAGAAUAAGGAUCGGCUAACUCCGUG